This 451-nucleotide ribosomal RNA is filed under the name uncultured bacterium. RNAcentral's name for it is "partial 16S ribosomal RNA". It matches the Rfam family "Bacterial small subunit ribosomal RNA", at positions 354 to 796 of the family's 1533-position model. The record is from RNAcentral.
GUGGGGAAUAUUGCGCAAUGGGGGAAACCCUGACGCAGCGACGCCGUGUGAGGGAAGAAGGCUUUCGGGUCGUAAACCUCUGUCAGGAAGGAAGAACCUCUCAAGGCUGAACAAGCCUUGGGACUGACGGUACUUCCAGAGGAAGCACCGGCUAACUCCGUGCCAGCAGCCGCGGUAAUACGGAGGGUGCAAGCGUUAAUCGGAAUCACUGGGCGUAAAGCGCGCGUAGGCCGUCUCUUAAGUCGGACGUGAAAGCCCUCGGCUCAACCGGGGAACUGCGUUCGAUACUGGGAGACUUGAGUCCUGGAGAGGGUGGCGGAAUUCCGGGUGUAGGAGUGAAAUCCGUAGAUAUCCGGAGGAACACCGGUGGCGAAGGCGGCCACCUGGACAGGUACUGACGCUGAGGCGCGAAAGCGUGGGGAGCAAACAGGAUUAGAAACCCUUGUAGUCC